Small nucleolar RNA from Dreissena polymorpha, 70 nucleotides. NCBI's taxonomy places the organism in Eukaryota, Metazoa, Mollusca, Bivalvia, Myida, Dreissenidae. The record is from RefSeq and is a predicted model, not a curated record.
UUUGAAAUGAUGACAACCCAUGCACAUGAUUAAGAUGAGUGCUGCUUUGUAUUCGUACUGUCUGAUCAAA